CCUACGGGCGGCUGCAGUGGGGAAUAUUGCACAAUGGGCGCAAGCCUGAUGCAGCCAUGCCGCGUGUGUGAAGAAGGCCUUCGGGUUGUAAAGCACUUUCAGCGGGGAGGAAGGCGUUAAGGUUAAUAACCUUGUCGAUUGACGUUACCCGCAGAAGAAGCACCGGCUAACUCCGUGCCAGCAGCCGCGGUAAUACGGAGGGUGCAAGCGUUAAUCGGAAUUACUGGGCGUAAGGCGCACGCAGGCGGUCUGUCAAGUCGGAUGUGAAAUCCCCGGGCUCAACCUGGGAACUGCAUUCGAAACUGGCAGGCUAGAGUCUUGUAGAGGGGGGUAGAAUUCCAGGUGUAGCGGUGAAAUGCGUAGAGAGCUGGAGGAAUACCGGUGGCGAAGGCGGCCCCCUGGACAAAGACUGACGCUCAGGUGCGAAAGCGUGGGGAGCAAACAGGAUUAGAUACCCGAGUAGUC
RNAcentral lists this ribosomal RNA (465 nucleotides) under uncultured Klebsiella sp. RNAcentral's name for it is "bacterial SSU rRNA". It matches the Rfam family "Bacterial small subunit ribosomal RNA", at positions 338 to 795 of the family's 1533-position model. Lineage: Bacteria; Pseudomonadati; Pseudomonadota; Gammaproteobacteria; Enterobacterales; Enterobacteriaceae. The record is from RNAcentral.